Molecule: ribosomal RNA, 367 nt
Filed under: uncultured organism
Description: bacterial SSU rRNA
Rfam family: Bacterial small subunit ribosomal RNA
Source: RNAcentral
GGAGGGUGCAAGCGUUAUCCGGAUUUAUUGGGUUUAAAGGGUCCGUAGGCGGAUCUGUAAGUCAGUGGUGAAAUCUCAUAGCUUAACUAUGAAACUGCCAUUGAUACUGCAGGUCUUGAGUAAAGUAGAAGUGGCUGGAAUAAGUAGUGUAGCGGUGAAAUGCAUAGAUAUUACUUAGAACACCAAUUGCGAAGGCAGGUCACUAUGUUUUAACUGACGCUGAUGGACGAAAGCGUGGGGAGCGAACAGGAUUAGAUACCCUGGUAGUCCACGCCGUAAACGAUGCUAACUCGUUUUUGGGGCCUUGGCUUCAGAGACUAAGCGAAAGUGAUAAGUUAGCCACCUGGGGAGUACGUUCGCAAGAAUG